Molecule: ribosomal RNA, 254 nt
Filed under: uncultured bacterium
Lineage: Bacteria
Description: partial small subunit ribosomal RNA
Rfam family: Bacterial small subunit ribosomal RNA
Source: RNAcentral
AGGACGAACGCUGGCGGCGUGCUUAACACAUGCAAGUCGAACGGAAAGGCCCUUCGGGGUACUCGAGUGGCGAACGGGUGAGUAACACGUGGGUGAUCUGCCCUGCACUUUGGGAUAAGCCUGGGAAACUGGGUCUAAUACCGAAUACACCUUGCCGGCUGCAUGGUUGGUGGGGGAAAGCUUUUGCGGUGUGGGAUGAGCCCGCGGCCUAUCAGCUUGUUGGUGGGUGAUGGCCUACCAAGGCGACGACGGGU